CUCAUAUCGGUGCUCACGUCUUCCACCGCUCCGUGCAAAGUUUUUUCCUUGGUACCACCGUCCCGUAUAAGGGAGUGGAGCGGACCUGAGUUUUAUUUAAAUUAACGAGGUCUCGGGGACCCGGCCUUGGUGCGUGAUAACUAUGGAUCAAGGUCGCCUUUGUAAAUGCUGACACGAUGUACAAAGCGUAGUCGAUAUGAUAUUAUAUUACAAUAAUUCUUACAACUUCAAUGCGACCGUGGAGGGCAGAGAGGUCCUUGAAUGUUCCCUACGGUGGCCUAUGAUUGUCGUCCCUCACACGUUGCGAUGUUCUUCCUGGAGCAUACACUCGUACCCGGUGACAUUUUUGACAUUUUAUAUUAUGUGCAUAUAUUUAUCGGUUUACCGGUUUACGAUAUGCUUUGACUUGACGUUCGACCACAAAUCCGCAAUCAUAAAUAAUACCUAUAGCAGUUAAACCUAGCGCUCAUGUUCUCCGUCAUCUUUGACAGCUGCUAACAAUU
This is a non-coding RNA of Cinara cedri, 503 nucleotides long. NCBI's taxonomy places the organism in Eukaryota, Metazoa, Arthropoda, Insecta, Hemiptera, Aphididae. The record is from the annotation of a GenBank genome assembly.